This 433-nucleotide ribosomal RNA is filed under the name uncultured bacterium. Its description in RNAcentral is "partial 16S ribosomal RNA". It matches the Rfam family "Bacterial small subunit ribosomal RNA", at positions 29 to 507 of the family's 1533-position model. The record is from RNAcentral.
AACGAACGCUGGCGGCAUGCCUAACACAUGCAAGUCGAACGAUCCCUUCGGGGAUAGUGGCGCACGGGUGCGUAACGCGUGGGAACCUGCCCUUAGGUUCGGAAUAACUCAGAGAAAUUUGAGCUAAUACCGGAUAAUGUCUUCGGACCAAAGAUUUAUCGCCUUUGGAUGGGCCCGCGUUGGAUUAGCUAGUUGGUGGGGUAAAGGCCUACCAAGGCGACGAUCCAUAGCUGGUCUGAGAGGAUGAUCAGCCACACUGGGACUGAGGCACGGCCCAGACUCCUACGGGAGGCAGCAGUGGGGAAUAUUGGACAAUGGGCGGAAGCCUGAUCCAGCAAUGCCGCGUGAGUGAUGAAGGCCUUAGGGUUGUAAAGCUCUUUUACCCGGGAUGAUAAUGACAGUACCGGGAGAAUAAGCCCCGGCUAACUCCGUG